Long non-coding RNA from Lynx canadensis (Canada lynx), 4298 nucleotides. RefSeq lists it as uncharacterized. NCBI's taxonomy places the organism in Eukaryota, Metazoa, Chordata, Mammalia, Carnivora, Felidae. The transcript has 2 exons. The record is from RefSeq and is a predicted model, not a curated record.
GGUUUGGGUGUGGCCGCCAGGAAGAGGAUAGGCCUUGCCGCAGGUGGGUGUAGUGAAAGGCUCCGCUGCGACUGAGGAUUCUGCAGUUCCAAAUGAGCUGAAACACUGAAGUUAUGAGAUUAACAUGAUGAGAAGAGGGAUGAUGAAGAGGCAGCUGAAGGUGAAAAAGUUAUAAAAGGCCUGAUGCCACCAUUGUGGAAAACUGCAGUGUGUGACACAUUGAGAGAAACCAUCCGUCUGCCCAGAGCUGUCUGCUAAGUGGAUCAUCCGGAAGAUGUAUAACUGUAUGAGAAAAGAAAACAAUUAAAAGAUGGUGUUACUUUCUUUCAAACAGUAUUUGCAUGUUUUCUUGAAAGCUUUUUCCUUCUGUAUUCUCCAGGUCUUCUAACACGUUGUUGCCCAAAGCAAUGACUAAGCUCCUUGAUGUAAUCCUUUUGUCACCUCAGUGAGAAGCUGUAAAGUGUAUCUUCACUUAAAAUAUGUUUGGGUAAUGUGAAUGGAUCUAUAGGAUUUUGGAUUUUUUGGAAACUAUUUGAACCUAGCAGAAUGAUCAGCAACCAGGGAUUUAAACAUUGUUGUAUUUCAAUUUCAGUUGCAAUUAUGCUGAGUAAACCUUUUGGAAGUGAUUUUGUCCAUCAUAACUGUAGCAGCUAAAGCUGUAUCUAGCAGUUAGAAUGUGCUCCCCAAAUACAUACUUAAAUUUUAUUUUUUGAAACAGAAAACCCCAUUCAAAUGGUCAAAGACAUGAAUAGACCAUUUACAAAAGAUGUAACAGUGGCCCUUAAACACGUGAAAAGAUGUUCAACCUCACUUGUGUGAAGAAAAAUGCCUAUUAAGGCUACAGUGACAUGGCAUUUUUCACUAUAAGGAUUGGCAAAAAUUAAAAAUAACAUACUUUCAUGGGCAAGUUGUAAGAAAAUAUAGACUCUCCCACAUUGCUAGUAGGAAUGCAAAUUGGCACAACCACUAGGGAGAAGAAUUUAGCAAUAGCUAGCAUAACUAUAUCUGAAUUUACCUUUGACCCAGCAAUCUGAAUCCAGGAUUUUACCCUGAAGAUACACUCCCACCUCUGUUAUAUGAAAAUACAUAGGCAGAAAGUUAUUCAUUGAUGCUUUGUUUGUAAUUGAAAAAACAUUAAAAAUAACAUAAAUACCAAUUCAUGGAACAGUAGUUGAAUAAACUGUGGUGGACCACACAACAGAGUGCUAUACAGCUGCAAAAAAAGAGUAAGGAAAAUCUCUGUAUAUUUAUGUGCAUGUGUGUGUGUGUGUGUAUUUAUUUUCUAGCUCUGUCUUCUGGGAGCCUAGGAAAAAUGAUAUCCCAGUAGCAAUAAGCACAUCCAGCACUCGAGUACCCAGAUCUUGUUUUCUAAAUACCAUUCUCUACCAAAAGGAACCAGACAGAGUUUAUUGGAGAGGUGAGUGAGCCCAAGGCUGACAAGCAAACUGCAAUAUGUGCUUGGAACAGUUUGUGCCAAAAAGCCAAGAAGUACUAAAAGAAUAAUGGAGCAUGUCAAAAAGAGCUCUGGAGCCAGCUUGAAAGUACUCCCAUUGGUCAAAUCUGGGACAGUUUAAGCAUUGAAAACAAAACCAAAAAUAAGUAAACCAAAAAAAACCCAAAACAACAACAACAAAAACCCUGAUAAAAGGAAUGAUUAACAAUAAAAUGAAGAAUCCAUGAAUUCUUGCUGAUAGUAAUUACAAAAGACUGACUACAAAUAAAUGGGGAGGGGAAAAAAGCUCUUUGUUACUGUAGAAAGCCAAAUAAUAAAUGUAUAAGGAAUAAUGAAAGUAGUGAUUACCAAAUGGUAAUAAUAAGUGAUUCAGGCAAGCAUCAUCAAUGGAUGGUAAAAACAUGGAUGAAAUUUGAAGAAAGCAGGGUAUUAACAUCAUCUUGAAGUAUUUACCUGCAAGACAGCUUUUCUUAUAAAGAGUAAAAUUAAUAACUUUACAGUAGAUAACCAAAUAAUUAAAUUAACAUAGCCAAUAAUGGGACCAACUGACAACAUCUGCUUCCUUAUAUAAUGCAUUGACAGGUACUAACCAUCACUUCUUUGCUAUCUUGGAUUAUAACCUUGGAUUCUUUUUUGUUAAAAGGAACAUUUUUGGGACAGUUGCUCAGGUAUGAAUAAGUUAUAUAGAUUAGAAUAGUAUUUUUUCAGUGUUAAUUUCCUGAUUUACCCACAUACUGUGGGUAUGUGCCAGAAAAAACAAAACAAAACAAAACAAAAAAACAACACUGAAGUAUCAAAAGGGACAUCAUAUCUGAAUUUACUUUUAAACAAUUUAGAAAAAAUUUAUAGGAAACAAAGCAAAUAAGUAAUGUAGUAAAAUGUUAAUAUUUGGGGAAACUGAGGGAAAGAUAUUCCAGAAAACUGUAUGAUACUUGCAACCUUUCUCUAAGUGUGAAAUUAUUUUGUUGUUGUUUUUAAAACACAAAUGAAUCAACCAUUUAAGAAACGUUGCAAAGAUGACAGAGUAGUAGGGGGACCCUAUGCUUGCCUCAUUCCUUGAACACAGCCAGAUAAAUAUAAAAUCAUUCUGAACACGCAAGUAAUUGGUCUGAGGACUGAGAGACAAUCUGCACAUCUAGAGGGAGAAAAAUGGCCACAUAGUGGAAGAUAGAAACUGUGGAGAGUUGUUGGGGCAGAAAUGAAUUGUAGGUGUUGUAGAGGGGAGGGAGCCCUGAUCACAGAGACAGGGGAGAGAGAGAAAGCAGCAUACAGGGGAUUGCACAAGAAAAACACUUCCCCAAAAGCAUUCACUGGGAAAAUGAAAGGAGCUGAUUAUUGUAAGUUUUUACAAGCAGCAGAACUCAAAGUCUGAAGUUUUAGAAGUCUGCACCAUUGCUGGAAUCAUGCCUGGCAGGCUUAGCGAUGCUCCUGUGGGGAAGGAGGACAGAGGCCCAGGAGCAGACAGUGUGCUCUGAGGAUCCUUUGGGUUGCACUGAAAAAGACAUUUCCCCUUAUUGGAGUGUAUUUGGGAGAGGUGGCACUGCCUCUCGGAGGACAAAAGAAAUGGUGGCACCAUUGAGAGGUCCCAUUAAUUAGCAUAGCAGCAGAGGCACCUGCUGAGGACAGCUAACCUGGAAGUCAGUUUUUGGCUGUGUUUUAUCAUAAACUCUGAGCCCUUGCAUGGUUGUGUGACUUCUUUUCUGGGACAAACUGGCACCAACCACAGUGCAGUGAGAACUUUCCCUAAAAGAUCAGUGCAUGUCCCUAAAAUUUGGAGUUUGGAAACCCAGCCACAUGCCUGAGCUGAAACACAGGAGCACUGAACCAGAUAGCUCAGACACAGACAAGGUGAAGGCAGGGUUCUGAUGGAAGCCUGGAACACAAGAGUAGAGAUUGUUCACACUUAAUGUGAGGGCUUGCUGAAAAGAGAUAUGUGUGAACUCCCCUUUCCUGGGACAAGAAAGUGAGGUGGCACCAUUUUCACCCACCCAUCAGCACAGACAGAUUUCAGUGAGCAACACAGCACUCCCAGUGGAGGCUGAAGCUGCUUACAUCAAGCUCUGCCCCACUGUGCCCUGCAGGUGCACCUCUACUACGGCAAGUCAGCCUGAGAACCAGUGCAGCAGGCCCCUCCCCCAGAAGACCAGCACAAGCCCCUCACCCUCCAUAUGCACCAAGUCUACUGACCAUAGAGUGAUGCAAGGCUUUAGCUCUAGGGGGAACAGGAUCUUGGCUUUUCUAACAAGCAGACCAAAACCAACUGGUUAAAACUUGCCACAUCAGGAUAAGGUCCAAACACUCCCCACUGCAGGUAAGAAGAAACUCUGCAGAGGACUGAUCUGAGGGGAAAAAGCAGCCAAGACACUACAGCAGGGUGCACACAGCAUACACCAAAAAAACUUCCUGAAGUGCCAGGCCCUGGACAGUAUAUAACCUCUUCUUAAUAUAGCCAUUAUAUUCAGAAGCAGGAAACGUAACGGUCUUUCCUAACAAUAGAAGACAGAGAUCUAGGCAAAUGCUAAGAUGGGAAAGUUCAUCCCAAAAGAAAGAACAAGAAGAGGUCGCCCCAGGGAUCUAACCAAAACAGAUGUAAGUAAUAUGCCUGAACUAGAAUUUAAAACAACAAUCAUAAGGAUACUACCUCAGCUUGAGAAAAGUAUAGAAGACACUAGGGAUUCCCUUAUUGCAGAGAUGAAAGAAUUAAAACCAGUCAAGCUAAAAUAAAAAAUGUUUUAACUGAGAUGCAAAACUGAUCAGUGUAAUGACAACAAGGAUGGAAGAGGCUAAGGAAAGAAUAAGUGAUAUAGAAGAUGAAAUUAGGGAAAAUAAUGAAGUUGAAAAGAAG